Gadus macrocephalus (Pacific cod) is the source of this 388-nucleotide long non-coding RNA. RefSeq lists it as uncharacterized. The transcript has 2 exons. NCBI's taxonomy places the organism in Eukaryota, Metazoa, Chordata, Actinopteri, Gadiformes, Gadidae. The record is from RefSeq and is a predicted model, not a curated record.
UCGGUGGGGACUGCAGAGAGACAAGGACAUUUAGAUUAAUCGUGGAGAGGAAGGAGGAUGUUGGACACGUUAUAUUACUAAGAGAGCGCUCAGAAACAAAAAUAACACUUGACCGUCCUAUUUCAUGGGACAGGUGCUUGAGGAGAGGGGUGAGAAGAUCAAAGAUUGCACACUGUCUAAGUUGCAAUAUAUUCAUACCCAACAUUUCGGUGCCUUAAACAGACCUUCAACAGGCAAAUGGUUGAUGAGAAUGAGAAUCCAUCCUAAACAGGGAGUGGCUGUAAAUCAGCUAACAAUCCCGUUCUCCACUUUUAAUAUGAAGACAUAAAAAUCCAACAUUGAGCGAACUAUUUUCGAUUGUCCACGUGCUUAACAAAAACCUUGUUCA